GACAGAGGGUGCAAACGUUGUUCGGAAUUACUGGGCGUAAAGCGCGUGUAGGCGGCUAAGUAAGUCGGGCGUGAAAUCCCACGGCUCAACCGUGGAAGUGCACUCGAAACUGCAUAGCUAGAGUCCUGGAGAGGAAGGUGGAAUGCUUGGUGUAGAGGUGAAAUUCGUAGAUAUCAAGCGGAACACCGGUGGCGAAGGCGGCCUUCUGGACAGUGACUGACGCUGAGACGCGAAAGCGUGGGGAGCAACAGGG
This 253-nucleotide ribosomal RNA is filed under the name uncultured bacterium. RNAcentral's name for it is "partial 16S ribosomal RNA". It matches the Rfam family "Bacterial small subunit ribosomal RNA", at positions 524 to 776 of the family's 1533-position model. The record is from RNAcentral.